GGGUGUUGUUGUGGUUUGAGCACUAGACUAUGAUUCUGGAGACCAGGGUUCAAAUCCCAGCAUGGCCA
Molecule: non-coding RNA, 68 nt
Organism: Phrynosoma platyrhinos (Desert horned lizard)
Lineage: Eukaryota; Metazoa; Chordata; Lepidosauria; Squamata; Phrynosomatidae
Source: the annotation of a GenBank genome assembly